UUUGCGGCGGUCUCUAAUUCGCUUGGUGCAGGUCGGGAACUAUCGCCGCGCCGGCGGCUGAGCGAGCACGGUUGCGUCGUCGUCUCCGGCGAAUUUAGCUCCCGCCUUGCAUCAACUGAAUCGGAGCCCGCGGUGAAU
This 138-nucleotide microRNA precursor is filed under the name Ipomoea nil (Japanese morning glory). Its description in RNAcentral is "MIR168 microRNA precursor family". It matches the Rfam family "MIR168 microRNA precursor family". The record is from Rfam by way of RNAcentral. Lineage: Eukaryota; Viridiplantae; Streptophyta; Magnoliopsida; Solanales; Convolvulaceae.